This 253-nucleotide ribosomal RNA is filed under the name uncultured bacterium. RNAcentral describes it as "partial 16S ribosomal RNA". It matches the Rfam family "Bacterial small subunit ribosomal RNA", at positions 524 to 776 of the family's 1533-position model. The record is from RNAcentral.
UACGGAGGGUGCGAGCGUUGUCCGGAAUCACUGGGCGUAAAGGGCGCGUAGGCGGCCGAGCAAGGUCGCGGUGAAAGCCCGGGGCUCAACCCCGGGUCGGCCGUGGCAACUACUCGGCUCGAGCACUGUAGGGGCGGAUGGAAUUCCGGGUGUAGCGGUGGAAUGCGUAGAGAUCCGGAAGAACACCGGUGGCGAAGGCGGUGAGCUGGGCAGUUACUGACACUGAGGCGCGACAGCGUGGGGAGCAAACAGG